GCACAGAUAGGUCGCGCGAAUAGGCAGUCGAGCGGUAAGGCACCUUCGGGGUACACGAGCGGCGAACGGGUGAGUAACACGUGAGCAACCUGCCCCUGACUCUGGGAUAAGCGGUGGAAACGCCGUCUAAUACCGGAUACGACCCGCCACCUCAUGGUGGAGGGUGGAAAGUUUUUCGGUCAGGGAUGGGCUCGCGGCCUAUCAGCUUGUUGGUGGGGUAACGGCCUACCAAGGCGAUUACGGGUAGCCGGCCUGAGAGGGCGACCGGCCACACUGGGACUGAGACACGGCCCAGACUCCUGCGGGAGGCAGCAGUGGGGAAUAUUGCGCAAUGGGCGAAAGCCUGACGCAGCGACGCCGCGUGGGGGAUGACGGCCUUCGGGUUGUAAACCUCUUUUACCACCAACGCAGGCUUCCAGUUCUCUGGAGGUUGACGGUAGGUGGGGAAUAAGGACCGGCUAACUACGUGCCAGCAGCCGCGGUAAUACGUAGGGUCCGAGCGUUGUCCGGAAUUAUUGGGCGUAAAGAGCUCGUAGGCGGCGUGUCGCGUCUGCUGUGAAAGACCGGGGCUUAACUCCGGUUCUGCAGUGGAUACGGGCAUGCUAGAGGUAGGUAGGGGAGACUGGAAUUCCUGGUGUAGCGGUGAAAUGCGCAGAUAUCAGGAGGAACACCGGUGGCGAAGGCGGGUCUCUGGGCCUUACCUGACGCUGAGGAGCGAAAGCAUGGGGAGCGAACAGGAUUAGAUACCCUGGUAGUCCAUGCCGUAAACGUUGGGCGCUAGGUGUGGGGACUUUCCACGGUUUCCGCGCCGUAGCUAACGCAUUAAGCGCCCCGCCUGGGGAGUACGGCCGCAAGGCUAAAACUCAAAGGAAUUGACGGGGGCCCGCACAAGCGGCGGAGCAUGUUGCUUAAUUCGACGCAACGCGAAGAACCUUACCAAGGUUUGACAUCACCCGUGGACUCGCAGAGAUGUGAGGUCAUUUAGUUGGCGGGUGACAGGUGGUGCAUGGCUGUCGUCAGCUCGUGUCGUGAGAUGUUGGAUUAAGUCCCGCAACGAGCGCAACCCUUGUUCCAUGUUACAGCACGUAAUGCUGGGGACUCAUGGGAGACUGCGGGAUCACUCGGAGAAAGGUGGGGAAUGACGUCGAGGUCAUCAUGCCCCUUAUGUCUUGGGGCUGCCAAAACAAUGCCUA
RNAcentral lists this ribosomal RNA (1193 nucleotides) under Nocardiopsis dassonvillei. RNAcentral describes it as "bacterial SSU rRNA". It matches the Rfam family "Bacterial small subunit ribosomal RNA", at positions 31 to 1236 of the family's 1533-position model. The record is from RNAcentral. Lineage: Bacteria; Bacillati; Actinomycetota; Actinomycetes; Streptosporangiales; Nocardiopsidaceae.